UUCAAAACCCUGAAGAAUAUAUAGAGAGUCAUUCUUACUAAGGAAAAAUCAGUUGCUCAAAUGGUGUUCUUCGGGUGGAAAAAUGCACUGUCAAGGUCCCGACCGUCGAGGCGGAGGCCAUCCUCAUCGUCCAGACCGUCCAGGCCAUCCUCAUCGCUGUCCUCUGAGGACAACUGUUUAGAAAUCGGGUGUUGCUGCAUUUUCGGGUCAAUCGCCGCCAUUGUCACGUCCUUGUUCUAUGGGCUGACAUGUUGCUGCUGCUGCAAUAUGUGUGGGACUUGCUCUUGCUUGGAUGAAAGUGAAACCUCCGAUCCCAAUCCACCAGCAAACGAGCCAACAAUAAAGACAGAAGACAAUAAAAUAGCAAAAGACUAAAAAAAAAAAUUUGAAAGGAAGCCCGUCGAUGUAUUUUCCUUUUCUGAGCUGCCAGUUCUUGUUGGUUUUCCUUAUACUUUGGAGUUACGUCGAUUGCAUAUCGACAGUCUACCUUCUCAAUAAUGGCAUAUGUGCACAGUGCACCUAUGUGUAAUUUUUUUCCUGCUCCUAUUAAUAAUCAAAGUUCAUUGCAAGAAUUACCUGAAA
Molecule: non-coding RNA, 582 nt
Organism: Punica granatum (pomegranate)
Lineage: Eukaryota; Viridiplantae; Streptophyta; Magnoliopsida; Myrtales; Lythraceae
Source: RefSeq, a predicted model, not a curated record